CCUACGGGAGGCAGCAGUGGGGAAUAUUGGGCAAUGGGCGCAAGCCUGACCCAGCAACGCCGCGUGAAGGAAGAAGGCUUUCGGGUUGUAAACUUCUUUUCUCAGGGACGAAGCAAGUGACGGUACCUGAGGAAUAAGCCACUGCUAACUACGUGCCAGCAGCCGCGGUAAUACGUAGGUGGCAAGCGUUAUCCGGAUUUACUGGGUGUAAAGGGAGUGUAGGCGGGAAAGCAAGUCAGAUGUGAAAACCAUGGGCUCAACCUGUGGCCUGCAUUUGAAACUGUUUUUAUUGAGUACUGGAGAGGCAGACGGAAUUCCUAGUGUAGCGGUGAAAUGCGUAGAUAUUAGGAGGAACACCAGUGGCGAAGGCGGUCUGCUGGACAGCAACUGACGCUGAGGCGCGAAAGCGUGGGGAGCAAACAGGAUUAGAUACCCCUGUAGUC
Molecule: ribosomal RNA, 443 nt
Filed under: uncultured bacterium
Lineage: Bacteria
Description: partial 16S ribosomal RNA
Rfam family: Bacterial small subunit ribosomal RNA
Source: RNAcentral